Long non-coding RNA from Gallus gallus (chicken), 1085 nucleotides. Lineage: Eukaryota; Metazoa; Chordata; Aves; Galliformes; Phasianidae. The record is from Ensembl.
CACAAAGCCAGAAACGCUAAGUCCCUGUGCAACAGAGUGCAAAGGGCAAGGAUGAAGGAUGGCUUUUAAUAAUUUAAAUGUACAGGCUAUAUACACCGCCCUCCAGUACUAUGCUUUGGGUGCUUGUGUAUACUUCUGUACAUUAAAUACCUUAACAGCCUGCUCAGCCUCAGUCAUAUACAUGUGCUCCCGGAGACACAGACAAACCAGCCGUCUGUAGAUCAUCACAUGCAAUCACACAGAUUUCCUUCUCCCCCUCUCUAAAUUACCCUUGAGGAGAGAAGCUCUCUACACGCUCCCGUAUGGACAGCCCCGCAGACCUGUGGUAGACCACAACCAGGCCGAGUUUCCAAGCUGAGGACCUUUCACAGAUGUACAGCACGUUGCCAAAUCGCUCCAGAAAGAGAUGAAUGGCACACAAGGAACGGCUUCUGCCUUACGGGCAUUACUAAAACCCUCACCUCGCCCAUGCGCCCCUACGGCACGCAGGUCAACCGGUGAGCGCUGUGCUUCAGCUCCCUUUCUGCGCCCCGAAGACACGCACGUGGCCACGCGCGGCAGCAGGAAACACCAUGAGGCAGAACCGGAAGGACUGCGGGGCUGCAUGCCACGGCCACGCCAAUCCCAACUUCUGGGCAGGAAACGUAUGCCAUGGCAGAGCGCUGAAGAUGACUCAAAUCGCCUCUCCCCCACCCUCCGGUGCCACGGAACAACAGCCCUCUUCAGCCAGGGGAGGGGGACCACGUGGAGGGAUGACUCAAAGCUCUGGGAUAGGGGAAAAACCCACAGAGCAGAGCACACAGCCACCCCCCCAAAACUCACACCGCCUCAUGUUAUAUUAAUUAAACACACAACAACUGCCUUGAGGUAAUAAACACUACAAAGGCAAAGCCAUCUCGUCCUACCACAAGAUAAGUUUACUGAGGUCAAACCCCAGGGAAAACUAAUCUAACCACAUUUUCAAAUUGUUUGGAAUAUUCCAUAGCCCAACAAAACCAUAAAUUGACAAAAACAUCCUAUCCUAGAAUAGCGUGGGGAUAACAAAGAAUGUUUUGUUUAAUUAAAGGCAGAUGACCUAAUAAAAG